This is a long non-coding RNA of Helianthus annuus (common sunflower), 680 nucleotides long. RefSeq lists it as uncharacterized. The record is from RefSeq and is a predicted model, not a curated record. The transcript is spliced from 3 exons. NCBI's taxonomy places the organism in Eukaryota, Viridiplantae, Streptophyta, Magnoliopsida, Asterales, Asteraceae.
UAUUGUUUGACCCUUGAAUUUUUAAAUUUGCAGUUAAAGAAAGAAGAAAAUCUAUCAAGCUUCUUGAGUUUUUUUAACAUUCUUGUUACAUUACUGAGAUUCAAGAUAAGGUUGCAACAGAAAUCGAAAAAACAACAAAAAUGAGAAACAAGGUCACAAAUGUUGUAGAAUUUGCAAACGGUGCGAGUGAAGAAAGCCUAGAAAAGAUGCAGAAUCUUCAUGCAGAUUUCAACAGAACUAUCAUGCAGUUCCAGUGGAUGAAACUUUUAGGUGGAAACAAUACCAUCAGACACCAGAUUUAUAUGCUUUGCGGGGUGAUGAUGUAUCUAUUGGUUAUGAUGUGAAGAAAGGAGAUUACCAUACCUUAUCAGCCAUAUGCGAUAGGCAGGGUCAAGUUUGAUGCAUUCGAACCCCGAAAGAUGGUUUCAUCACAUUGUUGCUUUCAUCCACAAAGCAUCUUUAAGUUUACAGCUUUGCAGAAACACAAGAGGGACAAAGAAUUUGUUUGGCUCAAGAAUUUGCGUAUGUGCUGCAGAUGAAGGAAGAUCUUUGCUUCUAUUUAGUUAAGUUAUUUCAUUUUCAAGGUGAAUGAAAACAAAAGUGCAAAUGCUUAAUCUUCACAUUGAUGGUGAUACAGAGUUGAUCCAUGAUCUAGCAUACUCGUACUUGGUGCAAUUAGA